Molecule: long non-coding RNA, 347 nt
Organism: Catharus ustulatus (Swainson's thrush)
Lineage: Eukaryota; Metazoa; Chordata; Aves; Passeriformes; Turdidae
Exons: 3
Source: RefSeq, a predicted model, not a curated record
AAAAAGAAGAUCCUCUGUGUAGUCCUUUGAAAUGUCCAGGAGAGAUUCUGGUUCUCAGAAAUGCAGUAUCCUUGCAGCGUGGAGGAGCUCUCGACUGCCUUCCUGGCGACGGGACUUCCCUCCCCCGCCGGGAGCGCCGCUCACAUGCCCGCGCCCCCGUUCCGCUGCCGCGGAGGGAGCUGCGCUCGCUCCGCUCUCGGGCUGCGGAGAGAGGCUGGGGCUGGGGGGGCUGCGCGGCCGCAGGCGGGGAGGAGGAGGAGGAGGCGGAGGAGGAGGAGGAGGAAGGAGCCCCGCGGCCGCCCCGCUGCCCAGAGCUGCCCGCGGGAAGUGGCCGGCUCGGCUGCCCC